RNAcentral lists this transfer RNA (73 nucleotides) under Paramuricea clavata. It matches the Rfam family "tRNA". Rfam says of the family: Transfer RNA (tRNA) molecules are approximately 80 nucleotides in length. Their secondary structure includes four short double-helical elements and three loops (D, anti-codon, and T loops). Lineage: Eukaryota; Metazoa; Cnidaria; Anthozoa; Malacalcyonacea; Plexauridae. The record is from Rfam by way of RNAcentral.
GACCACGUAGCUCAGUUGGAAGAGCAUUGGGCUAGUAUUCCAAAGGUCGUAGGUUCAAAUCCCGCCGUAGCCA